This 397-nucleotide ribosomal RNA is filed under the name uncultured bacterium. Its description in RNAcentral is "partial 16S ribosomal RNA". It matches the Rfam family "Bacterial small subunit ribosomal RNA", at positions 523 to 918 of the family's 1533-position model. The record is from RNAcentral.
AUACGUAGGGUGCGAGCGUUGUCCGGAAUGAUUGGGCGUUAAGGGCGCGUAGGCGGCCCGGUAAGUCUGGAGUGAAAGUCCUGUUUUUAAGAUGGGAAUUGCUUUGGAUACUGUCGGGCUUGAGUGCAGGAGAGGUAAGUGGAAUUCCCAGUGUAGCGGUGAAAUGCGUCGAGAUUGGGAGGAACACCAGUGGCGAAGGCGGCUUACUGGACUUUAACUGACGCUCAGGCGCGCAAGCGUGGUGAGUAAACGGGAUUAGAUUCCCUGGUAGUCCACACUGUAAACGAAGAAUGCUAGGUGUAGGGGGUAUCGACCCCUUCUGUGCCUCAGUCAACACAAUAAGCAUUCCGCCUGGGGAGUACGGCCGCAAGGUUGAAACUCAAAUGAAUUGACUGGG